RNAcentral lists this ribosomal RNA (500 nucleotides) under uncultured bacterium. Its description in RNAcentral is "partial 16S ribosomal RNA". It matches the Rfam family "Bacterial small subunit ribosomal RNA", at positions 30 to 523 of the family's 1533-position model. The record is from RNAcentral.
AUUGAACGCUGGCGGCAUGCUUUACACAUGCAAGUCGAACGGUAACAGGGUGCUUGCACCGCUGACGAGUGGCGAACGGGUGAGUAAUGCGUCGGAACGUGCCGAGUAGUGGGGGAUAACGCAGCGAAAGUUGCGCCAAUACCGCAUACGUACUGAGGUAGAAAGUGGGGGACCUUCGGGCCUCACGCUAUUCGAGCGGCCGACGUCUGAUUAGCUAGUAGGUGAGGUAAAGGCUCACCUAGGCGACGAUCAGUAGCGGGUCUGAGAGGAUGGUCCGCCACACUGGGACUGAGCCACGGCCCAGACUCCUACGGGAGGCAGCAGUGGGGAAUUUUGGACAAUGGGCGAAAGCCUGAUCCAGCCAUGCCGCGUGUCUGAAGAAGGCCUUCGGGUUGUAAAGGACUUUUGUCAGGGAGGAAAUUCCUAGCGUUAAUACCGCUGGGGGAUGACAGUACCUGAAGAAUAAGCACCGGCUAACUACGUGCCAGCCGCCGCCGUAA